RNAcentral lists this ribosomal RNA (495 nucleotides) under uncultured Sphingobacteriales bacterium. RNAcentral describes it as "bacterial SSU rRNA". It matches the Rfam family "Bacterial small subunit ribosomal RNA", at positions 888 to 1382 of the family's 1533-position model. The record is from RNAcentral. Lineage: Bacteria; Pseudomonadati; Bacteroidota; Sphingobacteriia; Sphingobacteriales.
CCCGCUCAGAAACUCAAAGGAAUUGACGGGGGCCCGCACAAGCGGUGGAGCAUGUGGUUUAAUUCGACGAUACGCGAAGAACCUUACCCGGGUUUGACAUUGUAUCGAAGCAUCCAGAGAUGGAUGUGUCUCUUCGGAGACGGUAUGACAGGUGCUGCAUGGCUGUCGUCAGCUCGUGCCGUGAGGUGUCGGGUUAAGUCCCAUAACGAGCGCAACCCCUACCUUUAGUUGCCAUCAGGUUAAGCUGGGGACUCUAAAGGAACUGCCUACGCAAGUAGUGAGGAAGGCGGGGAUGACGUCAAAUCAGCACGGCCUUACGUCCAGGGCUACACACGUGCUACAAUGGCCGAUACAGAGGGCAGCUACCUGGUGACAGGAUGCAAAUCUCCAAAGUCGGUCUCAGUUCGGAUCGGAGUCUGCAACCCGACUCCGUGAAGUUGGAUUCGCUAGUAAUCGCGCAUCAGCCAUGGCGCGGUGAAUACGUUCCCGGGCCUU